GACGAGGGAUCCUAGCGUUGUUCGGAAUUACUGGGCGUAAAGCGCGUUCAGGCGGUUUGGCAAGUCGGGCAUGAAAUCUCUCGGCUCAACCGGGAGAGGUUGUCCGAUACUGCUGGACUUGAGGGCAGUAGAGGGUGGUGGAAUUCCGGGUGUAGUGGUGAAAUGCGUAGAUAUCUGGAGGAACACCGGUGGCGAAGGCGGCAUCCUGGACCGGUAUUGACGCUGAGGCGCGAAAGCCAGGGGAGCAAACGGG
RNAcentral lists this ribosomal RNA (253 nucleotides) under uncultured bacterium. RNAcentral describes it as "partial 16S ribosomal RNA". It matches the Rfam family "Bacterial small subunit ribosomal RNA", at positions 524 to 776 of the family's 1533-position model. The record is from RNAcentral.